GUAGGUCAGUGGUAGAGCGUCGGCUCUGCAUGCCAAAGGUCCCAGGUUCAAUGCCCUGCAGUUCCA
Non-coding RNA from Podarcis lilfordi (Lilford's wall lizard), 66 nucleotides. The record is from the annotation of a GenBank genome assembly. Lineage: Eukaryota; Metazoa; Chordata; Lepidosauria; Squamata; Lacertidae.